This 459-nucleotide ribosomal RNA is filed under the name uncultured bacterium. Its description in RNAcentral is "partial 16S ribosomal RNA". It matches the Rfam family "Bacterial small subunit ribosomal RNA", at positions 338 to 795 of the family's 1533-position model. The record is from RNAcentral.
CCUACGGGAGGCAGCAGUGAGGAAUAUUGGUCAAUGGGCGGGAGCCUGAACCAGCCAAGCCGCGUGAGGGAAGAAGGUACAGCGUAUCGUAAACCUCUUUUGUCAGGGAACAAAGGCGGGGACUAGUCCCCGUAUGAGGGUACCUGAAGAAAAAGCAUCGGCUAACUCCGUGCCAGCAGCCGCGGUAAUACGGAGGAUGCGAGCGUUAUCCGGAUUUAUUGGGUUUAAAGGGUGCGCAGGCGGCCUGUUAAGUCAGCGGUAAAAGCCCGGGGCUCAACCCCGGCGAGCCGUUGAUACUGGGGGGAUGGAGUGGGAGAGAGGUAGGCGGAAUGCGCGGUGUAGCGGUGAAAUGAUUAGAUAUCGCGAAGAACCCCGAUUGAGAAGGCAGCGUACCGGAGCGACACUGACGCUGAGGCACGAAAGCGUGGGUAUCGAACAGGAUUAGAGACCCGGGGAGUC